RNAcentral lists this long non-coding RNA (495 nucleotides) under Homo sapiens (human). RNAcentral describes it as "HSALNT0197451". Lineage: Eukaryota; Metazoa; Chordata; Mammalia; Primates; Hominidae. The record is from RNAcentral.
AGAAGUUUUGUUUUUAAUUGUCCAUGCUUUAUUUUCCACCAACACCACCAUUUCCAUGGACAAAGUGGGUUCCAAACUACCGAUGUAUGAGUCAACAUGACCCAAGUAAGAUGGAGGACUGUGGUCUCAACACACAUGGUCAGGUCAACAGCAAGCCCAGUUUGAUUUUUCGACGGAAAUGCCAGGUUUUGAAAUAAUCCUUGCAAAGGCUGGAUUUGCUCCUAACAGGCCUUGAAUUGGCCUCCAAUGAUCUACUAACUUGUUAUUCACCAGGAAUGGCAAUUUCUCUCUCCCCAAAAUAGUUCAUUUGGUCAUGAAUGAACAGAGACAGGAAAAUUGAAGCAAACUAAGGAACUGGGCCUCUAUUGAGACCCAAAUGCCCUCUUCAGAGGGAACUACGAGGUCAACAAGCACAAUCCCCACAUGUGCAGUGAAGUCUCCAUACGUCCACUCUGGAGGAGGAGAUGACAAGGCAGGGAGGCUGUCAUUUCCUAC